RNAcentral lists this ribosomal RNA (254 nucleotides) under uncultured bacterium. Its description in RNAcentral is "partial 16S ribosomal RNA". It matches the Rfam family "Bacterial small subunit ribosomal RNA", at positions 524 to 776 of the family's 1533-position model. The record is from RNAcentral.
UACGUAGGCAGCAAGCGUUGUUCGGAAUCACUGGGCUUAAAGCGCGUGUAGGCGGGGUGGCACGUCCGUCGCUGAAAUCCCCCGGCUCAACCGGGGAACGGGCGCGGAUACGACCAUCCUCGAGGGACGUAGGGGGACCUGGAACUUCCGGUGGAGCGGUGAAAUGCGUUGAGAUCGGAAGGAACGCCCGUGGCGAAAGCGAGGUCCUGGACGUCUGCUGACGCUGAGACGCGAAAGCCAGGGGAGCGAACGGG